GAGACGCUGCGCGUGCUACACAUGCAAGUCAACGGAGCUAGACGCUGAGGCGUAGCUUGCUAUUGAAUCUUGUUUUAGCUUAGUGGCGGACGGGUGAGUAACGCGUGAGCAACCUACCUUUCAGAGGGGGAUAACGUUUGGAAACGAACGCUAAUACCGCAUGAUAUUAUUGGGCAGCAUUGCCUGAUAAUCAAAGGAGCAAUCCGCUGAAAGAUGGGCUCGCGUCCGAUUAGGUAGUUGCGGGGUAACGGCCCACCCAAGCCGACGAUCGGUAGCCGGACUGAGAGGUUGAACGGCCACAUUGGGACUGAGACACGGCCCAGACUCCUACGGGAGGCAGCAGUGAGGGAUAUUGGUCAAUGGGGGAAACCCUGAACCAGCAACGCUGCGUGAGGGAAGACGGUUUUCGGAUUGUAAACCUCUGUCCUCUGUGAAGAUGAUGACGGUAGCAGAGGAGGAAGCUCCGGCUAACUACGUG
Molecule: ribosomal RNA, 478 nt
Filed under: uncultured Oscillospiraceae bacterium
Lineage: Bacteria; Bacillati; Bacillota; Clostridia; Eubacteriales; Oscillospiraceae
Description: bacterial SSU rRNA
Rfam family: Bacterial small subunit ribosomal RNA
Source: RNAcentral